RNAcentral lists this long non-coding RNA (557 nucleotides) under Homo sapiens (human). RNAcentral's name for it is "HSALNT0248380". The record is from RNAcentral. Lineage: Eukaryota; Metazoa; Chordata; Mammalia; Primates; Hominidae.
UCAAGGCCUCCCUUUCAAACCUAUAAGUGUUGCUACCAGACAAGGGCAAGCCACAUCUGGUGAUGCAAUCUCUUGGCAUUCCUUCCAAAAGUUGUUAUUACCACCAUCGCUGAUUUGAAACAAGUUUCUGGUUGACAUUUUCAGCAGAGGUUAUCAGGGAGGCAUGCUGUUUUCAGUACUUUUUUGUUUAGAAGGCUUUGCCACUCCGGUGACUCUCCUGGACAGAUGUUGCAUUUAUGCCUAGACUCUGUGUGAGGCCCACAGCAGAUGUCUCCAGAACAUGCCCCUCCAUUCCCUGCCCUGGGCUGCUCUGCUUCCCAAGGGAGAUGGCUCAUCCCACCUACUCCGCACACCAGAUUGAUGGGGACACAUAUCCUCGAGAUGGAAUCCCAGGGGUUUACCUACAGCCUUUCACUGGAACACAGGCUUUUUAUCUGUUAAUGCCAGCAGCAUCCUAAAUACAAAGGCUGAAAUGACUGGAUUUGAACAAAUGGUUUGCUGAUGAAUAGUUGUAUCUGAAAUCCUUGUCAAAAUUUCUAUUAGUUGAGAAUUUUCUA